Molecule: ribosomal RNA, 617 nt
Filed under: uncultured bacterium
Lineage: Bacteria
Description: bacterial SSU rRNA
Rfam family: Bacterial small subunit ribosomal RNA
Source: RNAcentral
CCUACGGGAGGCAGCAGUAGGGAAUCUUCCGCAAUGGACGAAAGUCUGACGGAGCAACGCCGCGUGAACGAUGAAGGCCUUCGGGUCGUAAAGUUCUGUUGUUAGGGAAGAACAAGUGCUAGUUGAAUAAGCUGGCACCUUGACGGUACCUAACCAGAAAGCCACGGCUAACUACGUGCCAGCAGCCGCGGUAAUACGUAGGUGGCAAGCGUUGUCCGGAAUUAUUGGGCGUAAAGCGCGCGCAGGCGGUUUCUUAAGUCUGAUGUGAAAGCCCCCGGCUCAACCGGGGAGGGUCAUUGGAAACUGGGAAACUUGAGUGCAGAAGAGGAAAGUGGAAUUCCAAGUGUAGCGGUGAAAUGCGUAGAGAUUUGGAGGAACACCAGUGGCGAAGGCGACUUUCUGGUCUGUAACUGACGCUGAGGCGCGAAAGCGUGGGGAGCAAACAGGAUUAGAUACCCUGGUAGUCCACGCUGUAAACGAUGAGUGCUAAGUGUUAGAGGGUUUCCGCCCUUUAGUGCUGAAGUUAACGCAUUAAGCAUCCGCCUGGGGAUACGGUCGCAAGACAGAACUACAAGAGAGUAGACGCGNGAGAGNGACGACGACGACGAGAGGAGAGG